Molecule: ribosomal RNA, 253 nt
Filed under: uncultured bacterium
Lineage: Bacteria
Description: partial 16S ribosomal RNA
Rfam family: Bacterial small subunit ribosomal RNA
Source: RNAcentral
GACAGAGGGUGCAAACGUUGUUCGGAAUUACUGGGCGUAAAGCGUGUGUAGGCGGCCAUAUAAGUCGGAUGUGAAAGCCCAGGGCUCAACCCUGGAAGUGCACUCGAUACUGUAUGGCUCGAGUACUGGAGAGGUUGGUGGAAUUCUCGGUGUAGAGGUGAAAUUCGUAGAUAUCGAGAGGAACACCGGUGGCGAAGGCGGCCAACUGGACAGAUACUGACGCUGAGACACGAAAGCGUGGGGAGCAAACAGG